CGGCACUCAAAUGACUGCAUCCUGACUGCUGUGUGCUGUCUUCUGUGACACGGCCAUCCAUCCCGGCCACCCAUCCCGUACAGGGGCUUCUGCUGGAGUCAGAGUUGAGAGCUGGCCUCGGGGCGAUCCCUUGGAAACACGCUCGCCCCUCUCAGUCAGCUCCAGGAAGACCUGCACUUUCUUCUGUACCAGGCGUGUGCGAAGACGGAGUGGGGAAAAGCACACUUGAAAGAAGAGAUUUAAAUCUUCUGUGUGGGUCCCAGUUUCCAGGCGCUCACACGGCAGUUCACCUACUGAAGCAAACAUAUUUUGCAAACGGACAUGAUCUGGUUUCUGGGGACUGAUAACAAACACCGAAGGUCAAAUAGCAGCUCUAAUCAUUUCUGCAUGAACACUUUUCGGGCAAGUUUACAACUUAUCCAACGUUCAGCACUUUAGGUUUUGUUUUUGUUUUUUUCUCUUUUCUGGGCCAGCUUUGUCUUGCUUCUAUGAUGUUCUGUUUGAAAGGUCCCUUCUUGCUUCCCAACAGUUGUUUGGAAAUUUUCAACAUGUAAGUCAUGACCUUAUUAUUUUAUUUGGGAGGGAGGGAUCAAGUCGAGAAGCCAAAUUUAUACAAAUAAGGAGAGAAAUACAAAUAAGGACGUGAGAUUGGAGGAGUGGUCACACCCCAGUCUUGUUCGGCAGUUGAAGUUUCUUGUUAAUUUGGAUCUCUUGAAAUGAUAGUGGCUAUGCUUGCAGGUAUUUCUGAGACUCCAUUUAGAUUCCUUUAAAUGGAGGUGAAACGUUAAAAUAAAGCAGGACUGUCUCUCAAGAUGAAAAAAAAAAAAAAGAUCUACCGGCUAUUGUCCUCACUGCCUGAUUGACUAGUAGAAAACACAUCUCCAUGGGAACAGAUAAAUGUCUGCUUUUCACGCGGUGAAAAUAACCAGCUCAGCCUGUGCAGCUUCACCAACCUAGCACUUUAUUUGGACGGCUGUAAGCAGCCUCUCCCUUUUCAUGUUCAGCCAAAUUAUCUGCCAGAAUUUCUUUUCAAGUCUAGGGAGGGGAAAAAAAAAGAAUUCCCUCCCCCAUCCCCCCACCGCAUGGAGUUAAUUACUGUAUUUUCAUCUGGGAGGGUGGGAAAAAAUACACGCUGGGCUGAAACAGCACACAAAACAGCGGCUGGCGUAUGGAUCUGCCUGGUGUCUAUUAGCCGUUGGGGAUUUUUUUUAAGGCUGUGACCUACCUGGAGGUGGUGAGAGCCAGCAGCAGGUCGCAAUCAGCACUUUCUUCAUGGAAUGGAGCACACAGCACAUGGGAAGGAGAAACACGCUGUACCUCACAGUGACUCCUGUGCUGAACCGAGAAGUGCCAGGUGAGCCAGUAAGCGCUCCACCAGCGCGGCUUCUGAGUCGUCACUCCUGCCACAGUGCCAACGAACAAAGAGCAGUCAAGGAGCGCCUGAGAAGCACCGGCAUCCCCGCGGGCAUCUGCUGCGAGGGCUGGGCGAUCCGAUGUCCUCCAGCAUCUCUCAUGACAAUGGCAAUCACGGGCACUAAAGAGCAAAUGCUUUCCGCCUCCAGAUGCUCACAGACGUUGCCGGGGACCGAGACACGGGAACAAUCUAACAUCACCCGCUUUGUAUGCUCUGGAAGUGGUCUCAUUCAAAGGCAACUUCCUAUUUGUUGGAAUAAUUACAAGUUUGAUAAGUGCAAAUUAUCUGAGGAAUAAUUUCUGAGAAGAAUUAUGCGCAAGCCCU
Bos taurus (domestic cattle) is the source of this 1738-nucleotide long non-coding RNA. NCBI's taxonomy places the organism in Eukaryota, Metazoa, Chordata, Mammalia, Artiodactyla, Bovidae. The record is from Ensembl.